Molecule: ribosomal RNA, 253 nt
Filed under: uncultured bacterium
Lineage: Bacteria
Description: partial 16S ribosomal RNA
Rfam family: Bacterial small subunit ribosomal RNA
Source: RNAcentral
GACGGAGGGUGCUAGCGUUGUUCGGAAUGACUGGGCGUAAAGGGCGCGUAGGCGGCUUGGUUAGUCGGGUGUGAAAGCCCGGGGCUCAACCCCGGAACGGCAUCCGAUACUGCCUGGCUUGAGACCGGGAGAGGAGGGUGGAAUAUCCAGUGUAGAGGUGAAAUUCGUAGAUAUUGGAUGGAACACCAGUGGCGAAAGCGGCUCUCUGGCCCGGUUCUGACGCUGAGGCGCGAAAGCGUGGGGAGCAAACAGG